UACAGGGGGUGCAAACGUUGCUCGGAAUCAUUGGGCGUAAAGCGCACGUAGGCGGUUCGUUAUGUCGGAUGUGAAAGCCCUUGGCUUAACCGAGGAAGUGCAUCCGAAACUGGCGAGCUAGAGUACGAAAGAGGAUCGCGGAAUUCCCGGUGUAGAGGUGAAAUUCGUAGAUAUCGGGAGGAACACCGGUGGCAAAGGCGGCGAUCUGGGUCGAUACUGACGCUGAGGUGCGAAAGCGUGGGGAGCAAACAGG
Molecule: ribosomal RNA, 253 nt
Filed under: uncultured bacterium
Lineage: Bacteria
Description: partial 16S ribosomal RNA
Rfam family: Bacterial small subunit ribosomal RNA
Source: RNAcentral